Molecule: ribosomal RNA, 576 nt
Filed under: uncultured eukaryote
Lineage: Eukaryota
Description: bacterial SSU rRNA
Rfam family: Eukaryotic small subunit ribosomal RNA
Source: RNAcentral
UAAAAAGCCAACGCGUCUCUUUAUUGGGACGGUUGCUUGGUGAGUCAUAACAACUGUUCGAAGCGCAUGGCUUUUUAUGCCGGCGCUAGGUCAUUCAAAUUUCUGCCCUAUCAGCUUUCGAUGGUAGUGUAGUGGACUACCAUGGCGUUAACGGGUAACGGAGAAUUAGGGUUCGAUUCCGGAGAGGGAGCCUGAGAAACGGCUACCACAUCUAAGGAUGGCAGCAGGCGCGCAAAUUACCCAAUCCUGAUUCAGGGAGGUAGUGACAAGAUAUAACAAUACCGGGCAUUUUCAUGUCUGGUAAUUGGAAUGAGUACAACUUAAAAACCUUAACGAUUAGCAAGUGGAGGGCAAGUCUGGUGCCAGCAGCCGCGGUAACACCAGCUCCACUAGCGUAUAUGUCCUUUGUUGUGGUUAAAAAGCUCGUAGUUGGAUUUCUGGCAUGGUUCGCCUGACCCGGGCUCCUAAGUGGGCUUCGUGCGUCGGUUCGCGAAUCGGUCAUCCUUGCCGAGAGUGGCUGUGCCCUUAACUGGGUGGCGGUCAGGAUCGGGAACGUUUACUUUGAAAAAAUUAGAG